This 473-nucleotide ribosomal RNA is filed under the name uncultured bacterium. RNAcentral describes it as "bacterial SSU rRNA". It matches the Rfam family "Bacterial small subunit ribosomal RNA", at positions 335 to 801 of the family's 1533-position model. The record is from RNAcentral.
ACUCCUACGGGAGGCAGCAGUAGGGAAUCUUCCACAAUGGGCGCAAGCCUGAUGGAGCAACACCGCGUGAGUGAAGACGGGUUUCGGCUCGUAAAGCUCUGUUGUUAAAGAAGAACACGUAUGAGAGUAACUGUUCAUACGUUGACGGUAUUUAACCAGAAAGUCACGGCUAACUACGUGCCAGCAGCCGCGGUAAUACGUAGGUGGCAAGCGUUAUCCGGAUUUAUUGGGCGUAAAGAGAGUGCAGGCGGUUUUCUAAGUCUGAUGUGAAAGCCUUCGGCUUAACCGGAGAAGUGCAUCGGAAACUGGAUAACUUGAGUGCAGAAGAGGGUAGUGGAACUCCAUGUGUAGCGGUGGAAUGCGUAGAUAUAUGGAAGAACACCAGUGGCGAAGGCGGCUACCUGGUCUGCAACUGACGCUGAGACUCGAAAGCAUGGGUAGCGAACAGGAUUAGAUACCCUGGUAGGAUAGCG